GGCAGUUCUCGGGUGACACACCCUGGAACUGGGCUUCCUCCUCUCUGGUUCUGGGUACAUCAUCCAAGAACCACA
Molecule: non-coding RNA, 75 nt
Organism: Myotis brandtii (Brandt's bat)
Lineage: Eukaryota; Metazoa; Chordata; Mammalia; Chiroptera; Vespertilionidae
Source: Rfam